UACGGAGGGGGCUAGCGUUGUUCGGAAUUACUGGGCGUAAAGCGCACGUAGGCGGACGCUUAAGUCAGGGGUGAAAUCCCGGGGCUCAACCCCGGAACUGCCUUUGAUACUGGGCGUCUGGAGGUCGGGAGAGGCGAGUGGAAUUCCGAGUGUAGAGGUGAAAUUCGUAGAUAUUCGGAGGAACACCAGUGGCGAAGGCGGCUCGCUGGCCCGAUACUGACGCUGAGGUGCGAAAGCGUGGGGAGCAAACAGGAUUAGAAACCCCCGUAGUCC
This 273-nucleotide ribosomal RNA is filed under the name uncultured bacterium. RNAcentral describes it as "partial 16S ribosomal RNA". It matches the Rfam family "Bacterial small subunit ribosomal RNA", at positions 524 to 796 of the family's 1533-position model. The record is from RNAcentral.